CAGACUUCCUCCGCACUCCCCCUCCCCAGCCAACCCGCUUCUCAACCUGAGUUGACACCAUCCCUUGAGAGGACUUUGUGAGAGGGUGAAGGGGGAAAUGGUCUACUGCUAUCAGACUUCCUGUUAUGACUGUGGUGCAGAGUUAACAGCUGGGACACUCAGGAUACAUCUACACUGCAUUAAAAGACCGAAGGCUGGGUCACCUCACUCAGGAUCAUGUCUAUAAAAUUGCAUUGUAGAUGUUCAGCCUUGGGGACCAAGCUUCAGCCUGAAAUUGAAUAUCUGCCCUACAACUGUAUAUCCCUGCAGCCUGAGACCAGUACAAUUGAUCCAAGACAGCCACAGCCCACAGCCUCUGCUUGCUCUGGACCAACUCAGCAUUGUAUACUCGUCUAUGGCUCGUUUUGGCAGAUGAGUUGGCAUUCGUAAUUGGAUACUGAUU
Molecule: non-coding RNA, 442 nt
Organism: Pelodiscus sinensis (Chinese soft-shelled turtle)
Lineage: Eukaryota; Metazoa; Chordata; Testudines; Trionychidae
Source: RefSeq, a predicted model, not a curated record